CCUACGGUGGCAGCAGUGGGGAAUAUUGGACAAUGGGCGAAAGCCUGAUCCAGCCAUGCCGCGUGUGUGAAGAAGGCCUUCGGGUUGUAAAGCACUUUCAGUGGGGAAGAAAGCCUUGGGGCUAAUACCCUCGAGGAAGGACAUCACCCACAGAAGAAGCACCGGCUAACUCCGUGCCAGCAGCCGCGGUAAUACGGAGGGUGCGAGCGUUAAUCGGAAUUACUGGGCGUAAAGCGCGCGUAGGCGGUCUGAUAAGCCGGUUGUGAAAGCCCCGGGCUCAACCUGGGAACGGCAUCCGGAACUGUCAGGCUAGAGUGCAGGAGAGGAAGGUAGAAUUCCCGGUGUAGCGGUGAAAUGCGUAGAGAUCGGGAGGAAUACCAGUGGCGAAGGCGGCCUUCUGGACUGACACUGACGCUGAGGUGCGAAAGCGUGGGUAGCAAACAGGAUUAGAUACCCUUGUAGUC
Molecule: ribosomal RNA, 464 nt
Filed under: Vreelandella stevensii
Lineage: Bacteria; Pseudomonadati; Pseudomonadota; Gammaproteobacteria; Oceanospirillales; Halomonadaceae
Description: partial 16S ribosomal RNA
Rfam family: Bacterial small subunit ribosomal RNA
Source: RNAcentral